RNAcentral lists this transfer RNA (75 nucleotides) under Candidatus Bathyarchaeota archaeon. RNAcentral's name for it is "tRNA-Ile". It matches the Rfam family "tRNA". From Rfam's summary of the family: Transfer RNA (tRNA) molecules are approximately 80 nucleotides in length. Their secondary structure includes four short double-helical elements and three loops (D, anti-codon, and T loops). Further hydrogen bonds mediate the characteristic L-shaped molecular structure. tRNAs have two regions of fundamental functional importance: the anti-codon, which is responsible for specific mRNA codon recognition, and the 3' end, to which the tRNAs corresponding amino acid is attached (by aminoacyl-tRNA synthetases). tRNAs cope with the degeneracy of the genetic code in two manners: having more than one tRNA (with a specific anti-codon) for a particular amino acid; and 'wobble' base-pairing, i.e. permitting non-standard base-pairing at the 3rd anti-codon position. The record is from RNAcentral. Lineage: Archaea; Thermoproteati; Candidatus Bathyarchaeota.
GGGGCCGUAGCAGAGCCUGGUCACUGCGGCCUCCUUAUAAGGGGUGGUUCAGGGGUUCAAAUCCCCUCGGCCCCA